Molecule: ribosomal RNA, 207 nt
Filed under: uncultured bacterium
Lineage: Bacteria
Description: partial 16S ribosomal RNA
Rfam family: Bacterial small subunit ribosomal RNA
Source: RNAcentral
UGCGUAGGUGGUAUGGCAAGUCAGAAGUGAAAACCCAGGGCUUAACUCUGGGACUGCUUUUGAAACUGUCAGACUAGAGUGCAGGAGAGGUAAGCGGAAUUCCUAGUGUAGCGGUGAAAUGCGUAGAUAUUAGGAGGAACAUCAGUGGCGAAGGCGGCUUACUGGACUGAAACUGACACUGAGGCGCGAAAGUGUGGGGAGCAAACA